GACGAACGCUGACGGCGUGCUUAACACAUGCAAGUCGAACGGAAAGGCCCUGCUUUUGUGGGGUGCUCGAGUGGCGAACGGGUGAGUAACACGUGAGUAACCUGCCCUUGACUUUGGGAUAACUUCAGGAAACUGGGGCUAAUACCGGAUAGGAGCUCCUGCUGCAUGGUGGGGGUUGGAAAGUUUCGGCGGUUGGGGAUGGACUCGCGGCUUAUCAGCUUGUUGGCGGGGUAGUGGCUUACCAAGGCUUUGACGGGUAGCCGGCCUGAGAGGGUGACCGGCCACAUUGGGACUGAGAUACGGCCCAGACUCCUACGGGAGGCAGCAGUGGGGAAUAUUGCACAAUGGGCGGAAGCCUGAUGCAGCAACGCCGCGUGCGGGAUGACGGCCUUCGGGUUGUAAACCGCUUUCGCCUGUGACGAAGCGUGAGUGACGGUAAUGGGUAAAGAAGCACCGGCUAACUACGUG
Molecule: ribosomal RNA, 468 nt
Filed under: uncultured bacterium
Lineage: Bacteria
Description: partial 16S ribosomal RNA
Rfam family: Bacterial small subunit ribosomal RNA
Source: RNAcentral